Non-coding RNA from Drosophila ananassae, 146 nucleotides. Lineage: Eukaryota; Metazoa; Arthropoda; Insecta; Diptera; Drosophilidae. The record is from Rfam.
UCGUUCUUGUGUUAUUCCCUGGAUGUCUUACCCUAAUUCAGAGAUUGUCAAACAGAACGAAGAGCAUAUUCCAGGCAACUAAUCACUCCAUAAUGAUGCGUCUAAUUUAUCCAGGACUACACCAUUACUAAAUGAUUGCCAUAUCU